RNAcentral lists this long non-coding RNA (425 nucleotides) under Crocodylus porosus (Australian saltwater crocodile). RNAcentral's name for it is "lncRNA (ENSCPRG00005004165.1)". Lineage: Eukaryota; Metazoa; Chordata; Crocodylia; Crocodylidae. The record is from RNAcentral.
UUCAGACCUUGGGAGAAAGCAAAAGGAGUCCUAUGUCUCCUGAGAUGCUGGGUCUGGGGUCAGAUAAAGGCUAUUGUUCACAGAGCACUUUAAAGGCCUCAACAGCUCAUUCGGAGGCAUUCCUGGCUCGCACCGGUCCCGAAGUCACUCCAUCUACCCUGGUUUCACCUCUCCGGCCCUCUUCAUCACCAUCGAGGAUCCCACACAUACAGCAAGAAGUCCAGACAAGGUUUUUCUUGGAGAAACAUGCCAGUGAGUUGGUGCACCUGGAGCUGUCCUUAAUGACAGAAGAAAUAAACACAAUCUGCUCCUUUUAUGAAUCAUCCAAAGCUCUGGAAAAGGAAGAGCAUAAAGAAAGCCGGGAUAUGAAAAGCAAUAAAGAGAUGGAGAUGGGCAGGAAACGGGACACCCUUCUGCAAGACCUG